GACGAACGCUGGCGGUGUGCUUAACACAUGCAAGUGGUGCGACGAACCAGAGCUUGCUCUGGGGCAAAGCCGCGAACGGGUGAGUAACACGUGGGUAAUCUACCCCGAUGACCGGGACAACCCGAGGAAACUCGGGCUAAUACCGGAUGUGGUGCGGAGACAUAAGUCUCUUCACUAAAGGUAGCUUCGGCUUCCGCAUUGGGAGGGGCCCGCGGCCCAUUAGCUUGUUGGUGGGGUCAAGGCCUACCAAGGCAACGAUGGGUAGCUGGUCUGAGAGGACGAUCAGCUACACUGGGACUGAGACACGGCCCAGACUCCUACGGGAGGCAGCAGUGGGGAAUCUUGCGCAAUGCGCGAAAGCGUGACGCAGCAACACCGCGUGAGGGAAGAAGGCCUUAGGGUUGUAAACCUCUUGCAGAUGGGACGAAGGUUCUCCGGUGAAUAGCCGAGAGGAUUGACGGUACCGUCAGAAGAAGCUCCGGCUAACUACGUG
Molecule: ribosomal RNA, 493 nt
Filed under: uncultured bacterium
Lineage: Bacteria
Description: partial 16S ribosomal RNA
Rfam family: Bacterial small subunit ribosomal RNA
Source: RNAcentral